This 3414-nucleotide long non-coding RNA is filed under the name Homo sapiens (human). RNAcentral describes it as "HSALNT0087594". Lineage: Eukaryota; Metazoa; Chordata; Mammalia; Primates; Hominidae. The record is from RNAcentral.
UGCAAUGGCACGAUCUCGGCUCACCGCAAUCUCUGCCUCCUGGGUUCAAGCCAUUGUCCUGCCUCAGCCUCCCGAGUAGCUGGGAUUACAGGAAGAAGGUUUUAUUUAGCUCACUGUCGUGCAGGUUGGCAAGUUCAAUGGAACAGCUCGGGAUUUUGAAAACUUUGCAUUGUCUAUGUUCAGCACUUGUGUGAGUUAAUCAACUGACAAUUCUUCUGGGCUAAAUAAAUCAUGUUCAAAAUAGAUUAAGGUGAGUCUUUUACAAAGCUUUUUGGAUCUGCUUUCAUUUUACUCACUCCUUCCUUUCCUAAAUGCAUAAAAAUAGAAAGGUCAAGUGAGCACCAUUGCUACCCAAUAUUUUGCAAGUGGAGAUCCUAAAUUAUGGUAUUUAAAAAAAUCACCUUUUCUAGGCAGACAUAGUCUUCAGGCUGUUCAUUUGUUUAUCAUUUGGUUGCUUCAUGACCAAACAGCGAAAGCAAACAAACAAAAAGGCCUCCCUUCCACCAGGCUGAGGCAGUCCUGUACAAGGCCACAUAGCUUGGCAAGUGAAAGGUUCGUUAGGUAUCAGGCUUCUUUCAUUUGUUCUGACAGAGACCUUUGUGUGGUGCAGAACUGCACAUCUGUAUGCACCAUCCUCAGGAUACCUUUUUUAUAUCUUUAUGCAUUUCUUUCCCUUCCAUAUAGAAAACUGACCCUAACUAUAUGUACUUACUCCAUUUCUAUUUUCAAGUAUAGCUUUUCAAAAAGAAUAAACUUAGGAGAGAGUUUUGUUGGAAAUGAAUGAGAACUUCUUGAUCAUCAGAAUAACAAAAUAUUGAAAUAUUUGGGACAUUGGGAAAUGUCUAACAAGAAAAUAAUUGACUAAUCUAAACAUUUAAGUUGAAGUAUAGGUGCUAAAUUAGAUAACAUGCCUUAUCCUUUUUAUGGUUCUGUUACUUAGAUAUAUUUAAGUCUAUAACAGUACCCCCAGAAUGACUGAGAUGCUGUUCAGUUAUAAAUGUGCUUGAACUAGCUCUGGGGACAGACAUUUUGGCAGGUAGGAGAAAUUUUCAAAAAUCUCCAGUUUUAUGGUUUCUGGUAUAAUAGUAACAUUUUAUUUUCAUAAUGCAGAUUGAAUUAGCUAAAUUAUUUGAUUAUGCAAAAAUGAAUUUUGGAGAGCUUUACACUUUACAUUAUUCCAGUAAGAAACUUAAAAGAGAGAAGAGUUUGAAUACAGCUACGUGAGAUUUGAUAAGUAUAUACUGGGUGAUUUUCUGGUUAUAUUUUAAAAAUAUUGUUCUCAUUUUCAUGUACACAUUUGGACAAAAUAACUGCACAUAUUUAUUGUGUAUAUUUUAAGUGGUAGAAAUACCAUUAAAGUCCAUGGAGUAAAUAUAUAGUCAUUUUAAAAAUUAUCUGGAAACCUCAAGAGCUUUUUGCUGCUGUUUCAUCUGUCAGUUAAAUUUAUUUCAGUAGUAUAAAUAAUAGUUACGUGAUAUUAUUAUAUAAAGUAGCUAUGAAAAUAUGUACAAUUUACUUGUAAGAAUGAUCAAAUAAAUAAAUACAGGAGGGUAUAUCCUGUCUUGAUCAACGCGUGUAACUCUAUGAGUGUUAAUCGGCUUUUUGCUUAUACUUUUAUAGGAAAAUGUACACACUAAUUUAACAUAUGCUGUUUAAUUCAUUUCUAAAAAGUGAUUCAUGUGUCACAUUUUUAACGUGUACAGAUUCACACAUUAACAGAGUUGGGUUUAAAGAAUUUGGUAGAUUCCUAAAACAAUUUAUUAUUGAAACAUUAUAAGAAAGAAUAAGACAACCUAAAACUAAUCCACCAAUUUGUCUGAAUACACUGGUCAAAAUAUGCAGAGAUAAUGCGCUAGUAUUAAUUUGUAUUAAAUGAACACUUUUUUGAAUAAUCACUGUGUUUUUAUUAAUACCAUGUAAGAUUUUCUAUCUUUUUUUUCCUCAAAGAUGAUAUAAAAUAAGAGAGAGUUAAAUAAUACUUCACAGGCUUUUCUAUGGAAAGAAUACUUCACACUUUUUCUAUGGAAAGCUUGUAUAAGCAUGUCCUUAAACAAUUUAAAUGUAUGGCCUAGCACUUGGGCAAGUCUGUAGAAAAUUUAUUUUGGGGAUUCCAUUCUUACAGUUGUUUCUUUCUUACCAAAUCACCUGAUUUCCAGGAAAACAGAUUGAACAUAUCCAGAAACAUCCCCAUUCUAAACAUACCAAAAUAAUAAAAUAGACAUGCUUUAAAACUUUAAAAAUUAUGAAAAAGAAAUAAUCUCCCAAUACCUUAAACAAAUGGUGACACCAAUUCGGCAGCUUACUGUAAGAGUCUCUAGUUAAGAGGAAGAAGUUACAGGUACAGAUUUAAGUUUGAGAAGCGACAAUAGGUAGAUGUUACUGUUUUUAUAGAAUAAGGUUAGACUCUAGAGAGAGAAAAUGAAAAUAGGGAGAAUGACAACUGCCAGAAUUGAGCUCGCUUCUUUAAUAUUUAAUGCUUAGAUAGAGGAAGAGGAGGAGGAGGAAGAGCUAACAACAAAAACAACCUGAAAAGACAUAACUACAGAAAUUGAAGAAAAUAUUAAAAGAGGGAAGCAUCAACAAACAUACAAACAUGGAGUGCCUUCAUAGACGAAGCUUUACUGUGUCAAGCAUUCCUGAGAGUUUAAGGUAGAUUACUGAGGCAAAGAACCGACCGUCAGAUUUAGCAAAAUGGAAACCAAUGGUGAAAUUGACAAGACAGUUUCAUGAAAACAAAGAACAUAAAAAGAAAUGCAAUAUGACUGUUUGGCUAAUGAUAAAUACACAGUAGGCACACGUAAUUAUAAAUUGAAGUGAUACUAGUUGACCUAAUUAUAUAAUUUCCUACAGAUAUAUAAUAUACAAUUAAUAUUCUCUACCUAUUUUUCCCCUGCUUCAGUGAAGCCACAUGUAUUAGUUUGCCAGGACUGCCAUAACAAAAUGCUACAGACUGUGUGGCUUAAACAACAGAAAUGUAUUUCACACAGUUCUUAAAGUAGAAAUUCAAGGUCAAGCUGAUGGCAAGUUUGGUUUCUCCCGAGGCCUCUCUUUUAGGCUAGUAGAGGACUACCUUCUUGCUAGGUCCUUACAUAGCCUUUUCUGUAUGGUCUCUCUCUCUCUCUCUGUCUCUCUCUCUCUCUCUCUCUGUCUCCCUCUCUCUCUUUCUUUUUAUAAGGAUACCAGUCAUAAUAAAGGGCCCCACCCUUGUAACUUUAUUUAACUUUAAUUGCCUCCUUAAAGGCCCUGCUUCCAAAUUUAGUCGCACUGGGGGUUAGAAAUUCAACAGAUGGGCCUGACGCGAUGGCUCACGCCUGUAAUCCCAACACUGUGGGAGGCCGAGGUGGGUGGAUCACGAGGUCAGGAAUUCAAGACCAGCCUGGCCAACUUGGUGAAACCCCGUCUCUACUAAAAAAA